AAUGGCGGCGUUAAUCGUUGUCUCUCAGUUACACACUUUACCUGUAUAUGACGUGUAAGUGAGACGGAUGAUUAGCACAGCUUCGUUUCGAUUCGUUUCUUUAUUGGCACGAGUUAUAUGGAUUUAGUUGUGACA
Long non-coding RNA from Maniola jurtina (meadow brown), 135 nucleotides. RefSeq lists it as uncharacterized. NCBI's taxonomy places the organism in Eukaryota, Metazoa, Arthropoda, Insecta, Lepidoptera, Nymphalidae. The record is from RefSeq and is a predicted model, not a curated record. The transcript has 3 exons.